UAGGGAAUCUUCGGCAAUGGGGGCAACCCUGACCGAGCAACGCCGCGUGAGUGAAGAAGGUUUUCGGAUCGUAAAGCUCUGUUGUAAGAGAAGAACGAGUGUGAGAGUGGAAAGUUCACACUGUGACGGUAACUUACCAGAAAGGGACGGCUAACUACGUGCCAGCAGCCGCGGUAAUACGUAGGUCCCGAGCGUUAUCCGGAUUUAUUGGGCGUAAAGCGAGCGCAGGCGGUUAGAUAAGUCUGAAGUUAAAGGCUGUGGCUUAACCAUAGUACGCUUUGGAAACUGUUUAACUUGAGUGCAGAAGGGGAGAGUGGAAUUCCAUGUGUAGCGGUGAAAUGCGUAGAUAUAUGGAGGAACACCGGUGGCGAAAGCGACUCUCUGGUCUGUAACUGACGCUGAGGCUCGAAAGCGUGGGGAGCAAACAGGAUUAGAUACCCUGGUAGUCCACGCCAUAAACGAUGAGUGCUAGGUGUUGGGUCCUUUCCGGGACUCAGUGCCGCAGCUAACGCAUUAAGCACUCCGCCUGGGGAGUACGACCGCAAGGUUG
RNAcentral lists this ribosomal RNA (550 nucleotides) under uncultured bacterium. RNAcentral's name for it is "bacterial SSU rRNA". It matches the Rfam family "Bacterial small subunit ribosomal RNA", at positions 355 to 896 of the family's 1533-position model. The record is from RNAcentral.